UCCCUCGCGGGUGCACCGCCG
This 21-nucleotide small nuclear RNA is filed under the name Arabidopsis thaliana (thale cress). RNAcentral describes it as "snRNA_15839". Lineage: Eukaryota; Viridiplantae; Streptophyta; Magnoliopsida; Brassicales; Brassicaceae. The record is from RNAcentral.